This 253-nucleotide ribosomal RNA is filed under the name uncultured bacterium. Its description in RNAcentral is "partial 16S ribosomal RNA". It matches the Rfam family "Bacterial small subunit ribosomal RNA", at positions 524 to 776 of the family's 1533-position model. The record is from RNAcentral.
UACGUAGGGGGCAAGCGUUGUCCGGAUUUAUUGGGCGUAAAGAGCGUGUAGGCGGCCAGACAGGUCAGCUGUGAAAACUCGAGGCUCAACCUCGAGACGUCGGUUGAAACCGUAUGGCUAGAGUCCGGAAGAGGAGAGUGGAAUUCCCGGUGUAGCGGUGAAAUGCGCAGAUAUCGGGAAGAACACCCGUGGCGAAGGCGGCUCUCUGGGACGGUACUGACGCUGAGACGCGAAAGCGUGGGGAGCGAACAGG